CAGUCGCCGCGGUAAUACGUAGGUGGCAAGCGUUGUCCGGAAUUAUUGGGCGUAAAGGGCUCGCAGGCGGUUUCUUAAGUCUGAUGUGAAAGCCCCCGGCUCAACCGGGGAGGGUCAUUGGAAACUGGGAAACUUGAGUGCAGAAGAGGAGAGUGGAAUUCCACGUGUAGCGGUGAAAUGCGUAGAGAUGUGGAGGAACACCAGUGGCGAAGGCGACUCUCUGGUCUGUAACUGACGCUGAGGGGCGGAAGCGUGGGGAGCGGACAGGAUUAGAUACCCCUGUAGUCCCUGUCUCUUAUAC
Molecule: ribosomal RNA, 301 nt
Filed under: uncultured bacterium
Lineage: Bacteria
Description: partial 16S ribosomal RNA
Rfam family: Bacterial small subunit ribosomal RNA
Source: RNAcentral